GAAUCAACACCCAAACAAACCCUUCGGUCUAAGCUCCCUGUUCCCAGGGUGACAGGGAAGAUGAUCAAAUUCAUCAACAAAGGCACGACUAACUCGCGUUUUAAACGGACUCAAAUGGAGACUCCUGAACUUGGCUCACCUCUACAAGGUCUUGGCAGCAGGUAAAACUUUCUCUGGACCAAUUUUGUAUGUCUUCUUGAAUGUCAACGCUUCUCCAAAACCGAGAUGUUCACGUGUGUAGUUGUUUGAAAGCUGGAUCACGGUAUGGGUUCUUGGGUGGUAGAUGGCUGUGGAAUUACAGAGGUUGUUAGCAUUGUGGUCUUUAAGCUGAAGUGAUGAAAUGCCCUCCCCUGUGCCUGACUGCACCGAGGCUCUAAUCAGAGACGUACUGAAAGACAUACUGAGAGCAUCAAAGUAUGAACCAAAAUGUAAAGCUGGAGAUGAUGUCAUUGCCAAACCACAAUUUACUCCAGAUUCUUCUGUUGCAAGCUGGAAUUGUUCUGAAAUCAUUUUUGAUUAAGAUAAGUGUCACUGCCUAUUGACCCUUACUGAUUUCCACUGGACUUCAGAGGAAACUUUAGAUACAGUGAUUCGGAGCUUCAAUGGCGUGGUCCUACACUUUAACGGUUGGACAAGAGCUCUACAUCUUAAACCAAGGAAAGGCUUCACCCAGCAAAACACGAAGAAAGUACGACUUUAGGCUGCUGUCUCCUAACACUGGAACCAAUGGAAACACCAUACAUCUUCACGGGAGGGUCAUUGCAGGUUCAGGAAAACACCCAUUAUUCACAGAACCCAAUCGUCUAAUUGCAUGUGGAAAGCAGUGUGUUCUGUCCCCAAGACCCUACCGCUGCACCUCCAUGCUCAAUAAAGCUGAAAGUGAAAGGUCCAUGAAUGCAGAGGAGAUUGAGAGGGAACCAAUCUCCACACACAGAAGCUUGGAUGACCAGAGAUUCUGCAGUGGGAGGUUAGAGACGUUAGAGGUGAAAAAGAGGGUGCACAGCUGCCUGGGGAGACGAACAGCGAGGCUGAUAUCCAUCCGCCGACCGUCUACAGCACCUGCAUGCACUCUGCAGACUAGGGAGAGUGAAGUAAUCCAGCAAAGGCCAGAAACUCCAAGUUGCAGGGUGGUGUGGAGAGCGAGAGAGGGUGAACACGGACACCCCGACAGCCCAGAUUCCACCUCAAGGGAAAUUCCUGUUCUACACCUCUACCUACCCUCCUAUCAGCUGCCCAAAAUGGAACAGGAAAUCACACAGGACAAGGAUUUGAGAUCAGAAAUCAACAUGGGAUUAGAUACUGAAACAGACAAACAGCUAAACAAUAUGAGUGAUACGAUUCAAAAUGACUUUAAAGAAAGAAAAGAAGAAGAAGAAAACAUGAUCCAAGGAAGGAGUGAGAGUAAAGAAGGCAUUGAAACUGGGAACAGUACCAAAAAUGCAGGUAGCAACAGUGAACAAAACGAAGAAACUGAAAUCACAGAGGAAAAAGAAGGAAGCGGCAUACUCUUUGAAGACAAUGGAUGGCCUAAUUCUACAGACGACAGCCUGCUGCAGGACGUUACACAAGGUGAAGAAAAGCACAAUAAGAAAGAUGAACUCACGGAGGACAAAAGACAGCAGGAGGUCACCCAGGGUGAUAUAAUUAAGGGUGAGGAGAACAAACAACAUGAUAUUGGAGAGGAUAUCAGACAUAAUGACUAUACUGAGGACGUUAAGCAGCUUGAUAUCACUAAGGAACAUGACCAGGAACAUAGCACCGCAGGAGAAAAUAGACUGCAGGGAUGCAGUGAAAACAAUGGGUCAGAUAAAGUUGCAGAUGACAUUGAAGGUAUCAACAAGAUGGCGCCAGACUUGGAGAUCCUGCAGAGCACUUCUGACCAUAAGGAUCUAAUAAAGACUCAAACGUCUAUGGAGAACCUAAAUGACCUAAAGGAGCAUCAACAGGUACUGGAGAAGCGAGAAAAAGCUCCACCUUCAAAGCUAAAAUCUGGACGUGCUCAUGUUACAACUUCAUGCUCGCUGGGCCAAAGCUCUGAAACCAACAGCCUGAGGAGGAUUACUCACCCAGCGCCAGUUAUAUCGUUCCCUUGCCUAUAUACACACACAUACUCCUCCCCCCUACCCCAUACGCUUCCAUCAUUUUAUGGGACCCAUUUUGGCUAUCGUCUCAGAACGCUCCAUACCCCCCAGCCCCAUCGUGCCAAGACAUGGACCACCAGCAUCAGCUCGGACAAAAGACUCAUAAAAACAGUGAAGGAACUGCCCCAGAGCAAAGAAACAAAGGGAAACCAUCAUGUCUCCACAAUGGAAACCAGAGGAACAACAGGUCCCCACCCCAAAAUAAUGAGCUCAGAGUGGGGGGCUCCGCCUUGUAAAACCAAAACCACCAAGACCUUUGUGUGGGGCCCAUGGGGUCCCCAAGAGACCAAGAGUGUGUGUGAGCUGCACACUCAAGCUAACAGGUGUGAUGGAGGGGCAGUUUGAAAGCUGUAGAGACUUCUUUGGCUGUGUGGGGGCUGCGUUCCUGCCCACUGCACACAAAUGAGGAAGAUUAUGAUUGAACGUUCAGAGACAGGUGUGCCUGACUAGAAGUAAAUGAUGUCCAAAGAGUUUCAGGCAGAAAAGCUUGGCUAAAAAUAUGGGCAAGGCAACAUCUGCAGAUGCUCUCUUUCUACGAAAAGGAAGAUUUCUCAGACUCCUGUCGUAAAAGUAAAGAAAACUAGGGUUUCUCAUUACAAAGAAAUUACAGAGAAGGCUAAAUAUCUCUUGUUGCACGUUUCUUUCUAAUUAAAAUCAUGUUUGUAAUUACAAAUAUUGCCUGCAUUAAAUAUACUUUAACUUUUAAAAGUAUGUUUUUGGAAAUAUAAGCUUAAAUUUCUUAGUAUUUAUAGAUAGAUGGUAUUUAUAGAAAGAUAGAUAUAUGUACAUAUACAGAUAGAUGGUUUGGGAUAGCGCCCAUUCCUGACCUAUAAGUGAAUGCUAGGCCAACCAACCCCACUGCCCCUUUUGACAGACAGACAAAGGGAUUGAAAGAGUAAUAGAUAGAUGGACAGACAGGUAGGCAAACAGACAGACAGUGAGACAAUGGACAGAUAGAUACAUAGGCAUAAACAAACAUGGAUAGAUGGAUGGACAGACAGACAAUUGGACAGACAGACAGAGAGACAGUGGAUAGAUUUUUACAUAGACAUUAACAAAUGUCUAAAAAAAGAUGGACAGACGGACGGACUGACAGAGAAACAGGUGGCCAGACGGUCAGACAGACAUGCAAACAGAUACAGAGAGAGAGAAAGAGAUAAUGGACAUAUAGAUGUGAUAGACAUGAACAAACAGGUGAAUAGAUGAAUGGAUGGACAGACAAAGUGACAGAUAGACAGGUGGCCAGACGACAGAUAGACAAAGACAGUCAGACAGAUAGAUGAAUGGACAAAUGAAUGGAUAGUUUUCCUGAUCCAUGCUGUGGGAAUGCUGUGCCAAUCAGCCUCACUGCCCUUUUUGUUCUCUCAACCUGAGCAGAUCAGGGUUAAAAGUAACACUGGGUUCCCAGAGACUCCCACUGCUGUUUCAAGCUUUAAAUGAAAUAAACUCAUAGGUUCUCACA
Molecule: long non-coding RNA, 3603 nt
Filed under: Astyanax mexicanus (Mexican tetra)
Lineage: Eukaryota; Metazoa; Chordata; Actinopteri; Characiformes; Acestrorhamphidae
Description: lncRNA (ENSAMXG00005017919.1)
Source: RNAcentral